GGGGGGGGCUAGGAUGAAAAAUGUUGUCCUGCAUUUUUUUUUAGUUGUGAUCUCUGUCCUGCCUUUUUAUUUUGCAUUCUAGUAAGUCCUGCCUUUUUUUUUUUAGUUUAUCCUGACUUUUUUUUACCUAAAUUGUCAUCCUGACUUUUUUUUUUUGCAAGUGUCUCAUCCUGCCUUUUUUUUUUACUCAAAAUUCCUGUCCUGCCUAUUUUUUUCAAAUUUCAUCCUAGCCCCCCAAUAAAAAUCAAAUGGUAGCUCCCUAAGUCAUACAUAUUU
RNAcentral lists this long non-coding RNA (276 nucleotides) under Mytilus galloprovincialis (Mediterranean mussel). Lineage: Eukaryota; Metazoa; Mollusca; Bivalvia; Mytilida; Mytilidae. The record is from RNAcentral.